Molecule: ribosomal RNA, 767 nt
Filed under: uncultured bacterium
Lineage: Bacteria
Description: bacterial SSU rRNA
Rfam family: Bacterial small subunit ribosomal RNA
Source: RNAcentral
GAUGAACGCUGGCGGCGCGCCUAACACAUGCAAGUCGAACGGUUAAGCCACCUUCGGGUGGGAAUAAAGUGGCGAACGGCUGAGUAACACGUGGGCAACCUGCCCCUCGCACCGGGACAGCCUCGGGAAACCGUGGAUGAUACCGGAUACUCCGCCUCCCCCGCAUGGGGAGGGCGGGAAAGCCCAGACGGCGAGGGAUGGGCCCGCGGCCUGUUAGCUAGUUGGCGGGGCAGCGGCCCACCAAGGCGAUGAUGGGUAGCCGGGUUGAGAGACCGACCGGCCAGAUUGGGACUGAGACACGGCCCAGACUCCUACGGGAGGCAGCAGUGGGGAAUCUUGCACAAUGGGCGGAAGCCUGAUGCAGCGACGCCGCGUGCGGGACGAAGGCCUUCGGGCUGUAAACCGCUUUCAGCAGGGACGAGGCGCAAGUGACGGUACCUGCAGAAGAAGCCCCGGCUAACUACGUGCCAGCAGCCGCGGUAAUACGUAGGGGGCAAGCGUUAUCCGGAUUCAUUGGGCGUAAAGCGCGCGUAGGCGGCCAGCCUGGUCGGGAGUCAAAUCCGGGGGCUCAACCCCCGUCCGCUCCCGAUACCGGCCGGCUUGAGUCUGGCAGGGGAAGGCGGAAUUCCCGGUGUAGCGGUGGAAUGCGCAGAUAUCGGGAAGAACACCGGUGGCGAAGGCGGCCUUCUGGGCCACGACUGACGCUGAGGCGCGAAAGCUAGGGGAGCGAACAGGAUUAGAUACCCUGGUAGUCCUAGCCGUAAACG